CCGAGUUAUUACUCCAAACCCAUUGUGAACCUUACCUAUGUUCUGUUGCCUCGGCGGGGCGCGCGCCCCUGAAAAGGCCGAUCCCCGCCGGCAGCACUAAACUCUUGAACUUUAGCGGAUUACAAUUCUGAAUACAAUACAAAAUAUAUCA
Molecule: unclassified non-coding RNA, 151 nt
Filed under: uncultured Microascaceae
Lineage: Eukaryota; Fungi; Ascomycota; Sordariomycetes; Microascales
Description: sequence contains ITS1
Source: RNAcentral